CCUACGGGAGGCAGCAGUGGGGAAUCUUGCGCAAUGGGCGAAAGCCUGACGCAGCAACGCCGCGUGCGGGAAGAAGGCUUUCGGGCUGUAAACCGCUUUCAGCAGGAACGAAAAUGACGGUACCUGCGGAAGAAGGAGCGGCCAACUAUGUGCCAGCAGCCGCGGUGAUACAUAGGCUUCAAGCGUUGUCCGGAUUUAUUGGGCGUAAAGAGUUCGUAGGCGGUCGAGUAAGUCGGGUGUGAAAAUUCUGGGCUCAACCCCGAGAGACGCCACCCGAUACUGCUUGACUUGAGUUCGAUAGGGGAGUGGGGAAUUCCUAGUGUAGCGGUGAAAUGCGCAGAUAUUAGGAGGAACACCGGUGGCGAAGGCGCCACUCUGGAUCGAUACUGACGCUGAGGAACGAAAGCAUGGGUAGCAAACAGGAUUAGGAUACCCUGGUAGUCCAUGCCCGUAAACGGUGGGCACUAGGUGUGGGUUUCUAUUAACGAAAUCCGCGCCGUCGCUAACGCAUUAAGUGCCCCGCCUGGGGAUACGGUCGCAAGCUAAAACUCAAAGAGAGUGGACGUGUUAGAGUAGUUCGACGACGACGACGACGGAGGAGGAG
This 604-nucleotide ribosomal RNA is filed under the name uncultured bacterium. Its description in RNAcentral is "bacterial SSU rRNA". It matches the Rfam family "Bacterial small subunit ribosomal RNA", at positions 338 to 1533 of the family's 1533-position model. The record is from RNAcentral.